AGAUCGUCCUCUUCUCCCUGCAGUGGCAUGGCGUUCGAGAGAUUCACCGACGAUCUCCUCGUGGAGAUCCUCUCGCGCGUCCUCGCUAUGUCGCUCUGCCGCCUCAAUGCCACCUCCGGGGAGUUGCUUACGGUUUCAUCUUUUCGCUUCACCAGUCUCUCGAGGGGAUGCCGCGCUCCUCUCAUAGACACGUCUUUCACCUUCCUGCCCAACCACCAGCGCGUCGAUCUUUUAGACUACUGCAGCGGCCUCCUCCUCUGCCGCUGGCACGCAGCCGGGUCCGACGAAUGCCGUUACAUCGUGUGCAAUCCCGCGAGAAAGGAGUGGGUCAUGCUACCUGAACCCAGCAAGGCCGAGGAUGUGAGCACUGUGCUCGGAUCUCACUCGUCGACGGCACGUUUGGGCUUCACUCCGGGCAUUUCUUCGCAUUUCCAUGUGUUUUUGUUGGUGGAGGAGCAGGAUCAAUGGAACCCAGACCUCUCCGGAGUGGCAGUGUAUUCGUCUGAAACCGGAGAAUGGGUUUAUAAGGAGAACAGAUGGAACAAGCGUAUCAAGGUCAUUGAGCUUCAGUUAUCUUCUGCCUUUCUUAACGGCUAUCUGCAUAUCCAAGCUGAUGGCCAGGACUUAACCACUUGUCUAGCUGUGGUGGAUACGGAUGUGGAAACAUGGAUGAACUUCAGUGUCCCUGGUGGUCUGGUUAACGGUUUUAUUCAACAGUCACAAGGCCGCUUGCAUUAUGCCAAUUUUCAGAGAGAUGAAGACCGUGGUGUCUUUCGACUAGUGGUUUAUGUUCUCGAGAACUACCAAAGCAAAGAAUGGAUAUUGAAGCAUAGCGUUGAAACUUCAUGCAUACUUGGAAGGACAGAUUACUGCAUUGAUGAGUUUGAUUGGAUUGCGAUUCAUCCGGAAUGCAACUUGAUAUUCUUCACCCUUGGGCUGGAUCUCAAACUCAUGUGCUAUAAUAUGGAUCGUCGGCAAGUCAAAGUGAUCUGCAAUCUUGAAGGUGUGAAGCCGCCAUAUCUGCCAUAUGUGCCGUUGUAUGCCGAGUUAGAGGCAUUGCACAUUUGA
RNAcentral lists this ribosomal RNA (1068 nucleotides) under Triticum aestivum (bread wheat). RNAcentral describes it as "partial small subunit ribosomal RNA". The record is from RNAcentral. Lineage: Eukaryota; Viridiplantae; Streptophyta; Magnoliopsida; Poales; Poaceae.